CGCGCGCGCGCGGCAGAGAGAGAACGAGAACCAGAUCCCUCCGCCGAGACAAAGAGUCCCAACCCUUUCCUUUCCCCUCCGCCCCUCCUUUCACUCAAACAUUGAGUCCCCUCUCUCUCUCUUCAGCCGCUUGAAACACACACAUUAAAAAGCCCCCCCCCUCGAAUUAAAACACAAUAAGGCUCCGAUGUGGGCGGGUAUCUGUGCUGAGAGUCGCUUUCUCUCUUCACUUACAGAGAAGGCCUCGGCGGAGGGAUACCAAAAGGAGGAGAAGGGGAGUGAGUGAGUGAGUGAGUGAGGCGAAAGAGGGCCCUGUGGCGGCGAAGAAGAAGACGACGACGUCGGCGGCGGCGCUGUUGGUGGCUGGGUUUCAAUGUGGGCGAAAGAGGAAGGAGCCCGAUGAGGCAGGCCCCCAAUGCCCCCCGGGGAUGGUGGCCCCGCUGGGCGAGGCGAGGCGAGGCAUGGCAAGGCGGCGGGAGAAAACGAAGGCCCCUUGGCAAAGGGAGGGAGGCAAGUAGGCCGGGAAGGAGCCGCCUCCAGACAGCCUCCCUCCCCAGCCCUUCCUUCUUUCUUUCUCUCUCCCUCUCUGUCUUUUCUAUGUCCCUCUGAUUUCCAUAUGCUUGCAAGUUUAUAAUAUCAUCUUAUGGUUUGUUUUUCCCCCCCUCCUCAUAAUGAUGGAAGAAGAAUCUCUGUGAGAAAGAGAAGGGAUGUUCUUUCUGGGUUGCUGUAUGGUCAUGUUCCAGAAGCAAUAUCUCCUGACGUUUCGCCUGCAUCUAUGGCAGGCAUCCUCAGAGGUUGUGAGGUCUGUUGGAAACUAGGCAAAGGAGGUUUGUAUAUCUCUGGAAUGCCCAGGUUGGGAAAAAAGAACUCUUGUCUGUUUGAGGCAAGUGUGAAUAUUGCAGUUGGCCACCUUGAUUAGCAUUGAAUGGCCUUGAAGCUUCAAAGCCUGGCUGCUUCCUGCUUGUGGGAAUAUUUUAUUAGCUGGCCCUGAUUGAUUCCUGUCUGGAAUUCCCUUGUUUUCAGAGUGUUGUCCUUUAUUUACUGUCCUGAUUUUAGAGUUGUUUUAAUACUGGCAGUUAGAUUUUAUUCAUAUUCAUGGUUUCCUCCUUUCUAUAAUAACUUUAUUGAUAACCCAUCCUAUCUCACCAAGGGGACUCAGGGCAGUUUCCAACAAACGAUGGCAAACAGUGCCAUAAAACAAUAUGAAAUGAACAAAUAGCUCCAUGAAUGCCCCCGAUUUCCAUCAUUUCCAGGCAUCCUCAAAGGUUGUGAGAUCUGUUGGAAACUACACAAGUGGGGUUUGUAUAUAUCAGUGGAAUAAUGUCCAGGGUGAGAGAAAGAACUCUUGUUUGUUUGAAAAAUUGUGAAUGUUGCAAUUGGCCACCUUGAAUAGCCUUGCAGCUUCAAAGCCUGGCUGUUUCCUGUCUGAGGGAAUAUCUUGUUAAGAGCUGUUAGCUGGCCCUGAUUGUUUCUUUUUUCCUUCAAUUUUUCCCAUUAGGAGUGGAAAAGUGUUAAUGUGUGAGAGAAAUAAACAUGUAUCCAAAGUCUCCUAAGUCAGGUUCCUCUGGUAUUGGUAGAGUCACCUGCAUGUAAGAGAAAUAACCAUUUUCUCUCCCCCCCCCCCCCCACCAUUACAUUGUCUUCAUUAGGAGUGCCUCAUUAUGGAUAGAAGGAUGUCUGUGUAUGAGAGAAAGACCCCCCCCCUUCCCCCCCUUGACUAUAUGAUUUUCUCCAUUGUUACUGUCACAAUAGGAAUAUUUUUUAAUGAUUUGUAUUUUUUAAAAAUCUGCCUUAUUUCUGGAUGGUACUACUUGGUGGCAGUUGGUGGGUUUUAUUUUAUAGUUUUAAAAAAGCUGUAAACGCCAAAGCAGGCAUGAUGGAAAUGGAGGCUGGGCUUCAGGUAAUAUAUAGCUGAAUCGAUCAGGGACAGAAGGGUGACCAGCAAAACCACGAUUAAUGGUUAUAUUUGCAUUUUUCUUUUCCUGCUGAUUGUGGGGAAUGAACAGGGUUCAGCUGCCUAAAGGUGACCUGUGCUGCCUUCUUGUAAGGAAAGCAUAUUUUUAAGGUGUAAUUGCACUUUAUUUGUAUUCUCUCAGGGUACAUCUUGGUUCUAUACUGUAUCCAUAUUUUGGAAUGGAAAGUAAGGCAUUAAUAAAAAUGCUUUCUCUUGAAUAAAAAAUGAUAGGCAGUAAGAUCCUGUAUUUCAGAGAUGACGAACCUGGGUAAAAAAUGACUUCUUUUCUGGUGAGAAAUAUUGCUGUCUUUCAUUAAAUUGAGAUAACUGACUGCUUCUGUGUAACUUAAAUCCAAAUGAUUAUUGUACUGUUUUAAGUUCAGUAUGAAGAAUUUUUCCUGACCGUGGACCACAAAAGGAAGAAAAGACUGUGCCGAUGCAUUUUCUAUCAUCCAAAGCUGAAGUUGUUAUAUUAAGAGUAUUUAUUAAGCAAUUGUUUCAGAUUCAUUUACCACAAUUUUUAUCUGGAAAAUUAAACAAUGUACGCUACUAGUCUAGCAAUAUGGAUUGUAUCAGUAAAAAGAAGGAUUCUUGAAUUGAAAACAUCUAUGUUACCUAGUUGUCCUCUGGUUUACAAAUUAGUACAGAACUGAUUUAAGCAAUUCAAAUUUGAAUAUUAUGUUUCUCUUUUACAUGUUUUUUGUUCAGCCUCGCUGUAUUGAUCACUACUGUAUUUUUCUGAGACUAAUAUUUAUGUGUGAUAGAACUGUAUGAAGAUUUAAAUCUCAUUGAUCUUUUAAAUAAAGCAUUAUCUCUUUUAAAUUACACUGAAGCCUUUUCUUUAAGAUGCAGUACAUGACUGGUGACCCUAGUAAGCAAUGUUAAUAAGGUCUGCAAGUUUAUCUUAACUGGUUUUACAAUUCUAUACGUGUAUACAAUAGAUAAGGAUUUUCUUAUGAGUUAUGACUGUAUAUUUAUGUAGAAUUCAAUUUUAUAUGAAAUGAUUAAAAGUUUUUGCUUGGAAAAAAGCCUAUUGUGAAUAUAAUGGCUUUCUCUUUGUUGUUUCAUAUCUAUUGCCAUAAUUUUGUUGAUUAGAUUCAUAUACAGACACUUUCAUUUUUGUUAUCAGAGACAGAAGCCACUAUACAAGCAAAAGAUUCAUUUAUUUCAGUUUAAAAUUACUGCUCUGCAAGAAGGUCAUUGGCUUCGUUUUGCAUUCAAGUAGCUUUGUCUCCUCCACACUGCUUAGAAUUAUUUGAGUAUUAAACAUUUAAAACCAAGAGUAUUGAGGGUUCUAUGGUUUAUUUAAUUGUUCCAUUACCUUAUUUUCAUGGCUAUUUUAGCAGUAAGAUAUUCUUGGUUUGUGUGCUAGAAGGACAUUUCAAAAAUUUACAUAAGUCUUUACAAAUAUAUUUUGAAAUGUCUAUAUUUGGUCAAUUUAGAUUAUCCUUAAUUUAGCUCAAAUGUGUUAUCAUGUGAUGGUUCUUUGUGAACUGCUUCUGUUACAAUGAGGCUUACUUUACACAAGUGAAAUGCCCUCUUUUCAGAUUAAAAUGGCUGAUCAAAAUAUAAACCAUUAUGGUCUUGUACAAAACCAUGUUGUAUUACAAAAAAUAGUUCUCUCCCCCCCCCCCCCAAUUGUAAUCUGGCAUCCUGAAGACCAGUGUUUGAUAUUUAUGUUUUUUAAAGGAUGGCUGUUGAGUUUCAUUAAACUUACAAAGAUUUUUGUCAAUUUUACAGAGAAACUGAGUUUGGUAGUCCCUUUUAGAACUUCUUUGAAAAUGUUAUUCACUUAUAACAAUAACAUGUGCUAUAAUUAGAUAAAUUUUAGUAGUAUUUAUGGUCUAUUUGAAAUAGGAGAUACAAUUAGCUAUAUACCAUUGGUUGUUAAAAUAAAUUAGAAAAAGAAUUAUCAACAUUGCUCCAAGGGGUUAGAUCCAAAAAAUGAAUGGAAGAGGUCCACUUUUUUAGUGCUCUUUUAUGAACUCUUUCAUGGAAUCAGGACCCUGGAACUGCAUUACAUUAUGCUAUACACAAUUCAUGAUCCUGGCAGUGGUGGGGAAGUGUGUUUCAUUUCAACAUGUAAUGUAGUUCGGAAACCCAAACAUUCUGGUUUAAUAGGUUCUUUAUUGCAAAGUAAGCCCUGACUAUCACAGUUGCAAGUUCUGCAAUACAGAAUUAUUUAAAUACAAGCCAUUGUUACUUUAUUUGUUGCAUGUAUAUGCCAGAUUUAUCCCAGAGUGGUCUUCCUAAUGAGGAAAAUUCCCAUUUGAGCUUUCUUAACAAAUGGAUUUCAAACACCAUUCUGUGAAUGAAAGUACUUCAGAACCUGGUACAAAGGGAACAAAUUAUGAUGUCUUUGUUUUUUGUUUGUUUUUUUCUAUUUCCAUCUUCCCCUGGAACUGCCCUGAAUCACACCCAUACUGUUCUGGGGACCCUGCAACCCUCUAGAACAGAGUUUUAGAGAUACAGACCUAUCCUCUUCCACUUAUGAAAGAAGAGGAAAGGACUGUUUGGGAAGGAGGUCUCCCUUGGCAAAUGUGAAUAAGGACUCCCAUGAUUGUAGCAACAUCAGCACUUCUUCCAUUGGAGCAUCACAGGCAACGAGUCAUAAAUAUGCAAAGAAAAAGACAUUUCAGAUACAAGUGAAACGGAGAGUGAAAAACUACUCCAGUAUGGAUUUCCUUUCUGGCUGUUUACAUUUGAUACUGAAUCAGAGUUGUAUAGAACUAAAAUGAACUGAUACUGACAUGCUUAUUAAAAUCCCCCAAGAACUGAAAUACAUGGAAGCCUUUAGAUCAUGCGCUGAUUAAGUCCGCAUUCUCUGAUAUAAAGAAUAUAUAUUCAGUUAUACAGUUUAUUUCAAAAUGCCUGCUGUCAUAUGUAUAAUGUAUAAUACACAUGUAAAAACCAAAUUGGACAAACAGUUCAUUUUUCACAGUAAAAUAUGGCAAAAGGAUCCAUUAUUUGUAUCACUCAAAAUAAUUUUUUGUCAUCUUUCACUCUCUUGUCUCUUGUGACUUAGAUCUUGCAGCUGUUGAAAUGGUUUUCUUAGAGAAUAAAUUAUAAGUGGUUGUCUACUGAUUAAAGGUGUUUAGUCAGUUUACUCACCUGACUUCUUAACAAAUAAUUUUACCUAAAUCUGAAUUUAAUUAACCAAAUCAGCCUCAAAGGCCACUGAUUUUUUAAAUUCAAUUUGAGAGUUUAUUGUUUAAUAUUUUAAAAAGCUACCUCAUUUUAGAUUAUUUUAAUAUUUUCCUUUUCUUUCUCUACUGUUAUACAGUAUAAGCAAAAUAAGUUUUAAAAAUAAAAAACUGUCUCUAGCAGCAUCAAGAUUUAACAUUUCCAUUGACAUUAAUAUGCUAAAGUUUAAGCAUAUUUAUUUCCCAGUUAUUUAAGUGAUGGUAAUUAAAAUAAACAGAUGUUUUAAUGACAAAUUAGCAUACAGCAACAGAUCUCACUAUGUUGUUUGAGUAAAAUAAAAUAAUCAAGUUUUGAAUUCAAUAAUGGCCAUUUUAAAUAUUAACGUGCUUCCAUGUGACAAAUAUGAUCUUCACUGUGGCCAUGUUGACUUCACCUUUCAUAUCACAUGACAAACAGUUAUAGGCAGUAACAAAUAUUUAAAAUAUAAAGUGUCCAUGAGUAAAUGCUUCUGAAUCUAAACUAAAAACCUAUUUGGUAGUUUUAAUCACCUCGUUUUCAUUCCAAGCUAAGUGCUCAUAUUUACAUUGCGUUAUUUUUCCAAUACAUUGUAGUACACAUAUUGUUAUUUUUUAAAAUUGUUUUCUCUGUGAAUCCAUUUACCUCUUUGACUAUUUUUGUGAUGUUUCUUUUAUAUUUACAUUUAAAGCUAAACAUCUUCCUUGGAAAGGUAAAGUGACAAUCCCUUUAAAUAACAUUUUAAUAUGUUAUUUAUAUGAUGGGUAAUUGUGCCAGAUUAUAUCCACAGGUGCUUUUCUGUAGCAGAAUGUUGUGGGACCCAUGCAGGCAGACCACCCAAUUUAGCAGGGAUCCUUUGUAUUCACUUUAGUCUUACUAGGAACAUCAACAGCAGUUUUUGAGGUUGUGUAUACGAGCCUUCUAAUCACCUGUCAAAUUUUUGGUGACCCCAUGGAUUUCAUAGACUUUUCUGAUGCAAGGCAUCCUCGGAGGUGAUUUUGCCAGUUUCCUCCUUUGAAAUAUAACCUAUAGCCCCAGGAGGCACAGUGGGUUAAACCUUUGUGGCAGCAGGACUGAUGACUUGAAAGUUGGACUUGAAGAUUGCCAGUUCGAAUCCAACCCAGGGAAAGCGUGGAUGAGCUCCCUCUAUCAGCUCCAGCUCCAUGCGGGGACAUGAGAGAAGCCCCCCACAAGGAUGGUAAAAACAAAAACGUCUAGACGUCCCCUGGGCAACGUCCUUGCAAAUGGCCAAUUCUCUCACACCAGAAGCAACUUGCAGUUUCUCAAGUUGCUCUUGACACGAAGAAAAAAAAGUACCUGAUAUUCAUUGGGGAUCUCCCAUCCAAGUACUAUCCUGGACCAACUGCUUAACUUCCAAUAUUAGAUGUGAUCUGAUCCCUUUAGGAUACAGUAUUUAUUGAUUAGGGCUCUCUAAAACAGGAUGGAAGAUCGCAUGGAGGGCUCCAUUUCUAAAGUCAGGCAGUUUGCCCUGACCUGUAGAAACACUUUCAACAAAGGCACAGUCACCAUUAGAUACAUGCUAUUGUCAUCAAACACACUGCAGUUAUUGGUAUGAAAAUUAGUGUCAUCAUAUUCAUGUUUAUUUACAUGCAAAUCCAAUCAUGUUUGGAAUUACCAUCAAAUAAAGUGACCCUUUCUGUGUCUAAUGCUA
This is a long non-coding RNA of Anolis carolinensis (green anole), 6785 nucleotides long. RefSeq lists it as uncharacterized. NCBI's taxonomy places the organism in Eukaryota, Metazoa, Chordata, Lepidosauria, Squamata, Anolidae. The transcript is spliced from 2 exons. The record is from RefSeq and is a predicted model, not a curated record.